This 1545-nucleotide ribosomal RNA is filed under the name Triticum aestivum (bread wheat). Its description in RNAcentral is "partial small subunit ribosomal RNA". The record is from RNAcentral. Lineage: Eukaryota; Viridiplantae; Streptophyta; Magnoliopsida; Poales; Poaceae.
AUGGCGGCGCCGGCGUUAUACUACCUGCUGCUGGUUCCCUUACUGGCAAUCGUUCCCUUUUUAUGCCUGAUCCAUUGCUAUAGUUGGCGGCGGACUGUUGCACCAAGCCGUCUGCCUCCAUCUCCAUGGGCGCUACCGGUGAUCGGCCACCUCCACCACCUCAUUGGUGCUCUCCCGCACCGCGGCAUGCGGGACCUCGCGCAGCGCCAUGGCCCGCUCCUGCUGCUCCGCCUCGGUGGGCUCCCUGUAGUCAUCGCCUCCUCGGCAAUGGCGGCGCGCGAGGUGAUGAAGACGUGCGACAUGGACCUGGCCACCCGCCCGGUGAGCCGCAUGAUCCGCAUUGCCAUCCCCGAGGGUGCCGAGGGGGUCGUCUUCGCGCCUUACGGUGACACAUGGAGGCUGAUGCGCAAGAUCUGCAACGUCGAGCUGCUGAGCGCUCCCCGUGUCCAGUCGUUCUGGCCCCUGCGCGACGACGAGGUUGGCCGGCUGCUCCGGGCGGUGGCACUGGCAGCUUCGGCGCAGCAGAAGCAGACGGUGAACCUAAGUAAGCUUGUCGCGGCGUACGCCGCCGACUUCUCCGCGCGCGCAAUCAUCGGCAGCCGUUUUAAGGAACGGGACUCGUUCCUGGCGAUGCUGGCGCGCGGGAUCAAGCUAUUUGCCAAGAUAGGUUUGCCGGACCUCUAUCCUUGUUCUUGGCUCGCCAUGGUCGUCAGCCGGAUACCAGGCCAGAUGAAGAAGCACAAAGAGGAUGCAGAUGCCUUCCUAAACUCCAUUAUCGACGAGCACCAGCAGAACUACAGAGUUUGUGGUGGUGAUAAGGAGGAGGACAUGCUGGACGUGCUCUUGAGGUUGCAGAGAGAGGGUGGCCUGCUGCGGCACCCUCUUUCUACUGACCGUAUCAAGACAAUCAUGGGCGAUAUGUUUGCCGGGGGGAGCGAUACCGCUGCAACAACACUGCAAUGGAUCAUGGCCGAGCUCAUGAGGAACCCCAGACUGAUGCAUAAGGCCCAAGAAGAGAUCAGACGAGAAUUGGCUGGACAGCACAAGGUGACAGAGAAGGGCCUAAGAAAUCUCAACUACAUGCACCUGGUCAUCAAGGAGGCGCUUCGACUGCACCCUCCGCUGCCCCUACUGCUGCCGCGAGAGUGCCAGAAAAACUGCAAGCUCCUAGGCUACCACAUACCCAAGGGCACAAUGGUGCUCGUGAAUGCAUGGGCCAUAAACAGGGACCCCCGCCACUGGGACGCACCCGAGGAUUUCAUUCCGGAGAGGUUUGAACGUAGCAACAUUGACUUCAAAGGGACCAACUUUGAGUACACGCCAUUUGGGGCAGGGCGGCGGAUGUGCCCGGGUAUGGCCUUUGGUCUGGUGAACAUAGAGUUCGCGCUCGCUGGGCUGCUCUACCACUUCGACUGGGAGCUGCCACACGACACACAGGCCGGGAAGCUGGACAUGGCAGAAGAAAUGGGCGUCACUGUGCGCCGUCGUCAAGACCUUUUGCUUGUUCCGACCAUCCGAGUGCCUUUGCCAAUAGACUACCAGUAA